UACAGAGGUCUCAAGCGUUGUCCGGAUUCAUUGGGCGUAAAGGGUGCGUAGGUGGUUGGGUAAGUCAAAUGUGAAAUCCCGGAGCUCAACUCCGGAACUGCAUUCGAUACUGCACGGCUAGAGGAUUGGAGAGGAGACUGGAAUUCACGGUGUAGCAGUGAAAUGCGUAGAUAUCGUGAGGAACACCCGUGGCGAAGGCGGGUCUCUGGACAAUUCCUGACACUGAGGCAAGAAGGCCAGGGGAGCAAACGGG
Molecule: ribosomal RNA, 253 nt
Filed under: uncultured bacterium
Lineage: Bacteria
Description: partial 16S ribosomal RNA
Rfam family: Bacterial small subunit ribosomal RNA
Source: RNAcentral